Molecule: ribosomal RNA, 173 nt
Filed under: Virgibacillus profundi
Lineage: Bacteria; Bacillati; Bacillota; Bacilli; Caryophanales; Bacillaceae
Description: partial 16S ribosomal RNA
Rfam family: Bacterial small subunit ribosomal RNA
Source: RNAcentral
ACUCCUACGGGAGGCAGCAGUCGGGAAUAUUGCGCAAUGGAGGAAACUCUGACGCAGUGACGCCGCGUGCAGGAAGAAGGUUUUCGGAUUGUAAACUGCUUUAGACAGGGAAGAAAAAAGACAGUACCUGUAGAAUAAGCUCCGGCUAACUACGUGCCAGCAGCCGCGGUAAC